RNAcentral lists this small RNA (135 nucleotides) under Gammaproteobacteria bacterium. RNAcentral's name for it is "RtT sRNA". It matches the Rfam family "RtT RNA". From Rfam's summary of the family: This family represents a bacterial cis-regulatory element known as RtT RNA. The exact function of RtT is unknown although it is thought that it may be involved in changing the cellular response in relation to amino acid starvation. The record is from RNAcentral. Lineage: Bacteria; Pseudomonadati; Pseudomonadota; Gammaproteobacteria.
CGGAUAAAAUUGGACGGCAGGAUGAGAACCGUAAAGGUUCGACGGCCGACCAGCGGGAGGCCGAACAGUGGAGCCUCAGCGACGCUGGCCCGAAGGGCGAGGGCGUCAGCCCGAGUAAUCCUGCCGGCCCAGCCA